Molecule: ribosomal RNA, 253 nt
Filed under: uncultured bacterium
Lineage: Bacteria
Description: partial 16S ribosomal RNA
Rfam family: Bacterial small subunit ribosomal RNA
Source: RNAcentral
UACGUAGGGGGCAAGCGUUGUCCGGAAUCAUUGGGCGUAAAGAGCGUGUAGGCGGCCCGGUAAGUCCGCUGUGAAAGUCCAGGGCUCAACCCUGGGAUGCCGGUGGAUACUGUCGGGCUCGAGUCCGGAAGAGGAGUGUGGAAUUCCUGGUGUAGCGGUGAAAUGCGCAGAUAUCAGGAGGAACACCGGUGGCGAAGGCGGAUCUCUGGGCCUUACCUGACGCUGAGGCGCGAAAGCUAGGGGAGCGAACAGG